AAAUCAUGUAAGAAGGACACUUUCUGAUCAAUUGUUUGUAUCUUUCCCAAGCUUCAUAGAGGGAUUCACCUUCCUUCUGUAUGAAGGUUUGGACUUCCACUCUAAGCUU
Arachis duranensis is the source of this 109-nucleotide small nucleolar RNA. NCBI's taxonomy places the organism in Eukaryota, Viridiplantae, Streptophyta, Magnoliopsida, Fabales, Fabaceae. The record is from RefSeq and is a predicted model, not a curated record.